GUGAUUUGUGAAUGUCACGUGUCAUCCAUCAGGACGGGUCUCACCUGCUAACCGUGAGACCUGAUUUUAUAUAAUUUUUUUCCAUCCCUCUUCGGUACACCUGCGCGUGCGGAGAGGAAAUCGAGGGGUUGGCCGCGGGCACGGAGCAUACCAGGAAAUGCGAGGAAGCGAAGAAGGCGGCCCAGGCGGCGAAGGCUCAUGAGCUGGCGGCCCAGAGGGCGCGGGAGUUGGAGCUGGAGGCCGCGCGUAGGGGCCGCGAUUAAACAACUCAGCAAAGGCAGGCAUCAAGGGCAGGGGAAGAACAAAACAGCAAGUGCUGUAUCAUGGCGAAAUAAAGCACAAUGUCAGGAGAUUCAUCUGUUCUACUGAUAUAAUGUACUCCUUUGAACAUAUUAUGUCUUGCCUAUUUUGAACUCCUAUGAACAUAUUACUUCACAUAUUACCUGCCGUGCUCACAUAUUACCUGUCUGC
Molecule: long non-coding RNA, 471 nt
Organism: Triticum dicoccoides
Lineage: Eukaryota; Viridiplantae; Streptophyta; Magnoliopsida; Poales; Poaceae
Exons: 2
Source: RefSeq, a predicted model, not a curated record